UACGUAGGGGGCAAGCGUUGUCCGGAAUCAUUGGGCGUAAAGCGCGUGUAGGCGGCUGGCUAAGUCCGCUGUGAAAGUCGAGGGCUCAACCCUCGAAUGCCGGUGGAUACUGUCGGGCUUGAGUACGGGAGAGGCGAGUGGAAUUCCUGGUGUAGCGGUGAAAUGCGCAGAUAUCAGGAGGAACACCAGUGGCGAAGGCGGCUCUCUGGGCAAUGACUGACGCUGAGAUGCGAAAGCGUGGGUAGCAAACAGG
This 253-nucleotide ribosomal RNA is filed under the name uncultured bacterium. Its description in RNAcentral is "partial 16S ribosomal RNA". It matches the Rfam family "Bacterial small subunit ribosomal RNA", at positions 524 to 776 of the family's 1533-position model. The record is from RNAcentral.